GAAGGACCUCAAGGCCCCAGGCCCAACAUUAGGAAAUCUAACCCCUGUGCCCUGAAGCUGCAGGAUGCUCCCUUACACAACCCCCAUGUCAAGACCCCUCCAGCAGCACGUAGCAUUUCAAGUCCUGCACAAUGCUACCACAAGAUGCUCCAUAUAGAUAACCCUAACGGUCAAACUUGAGGAUGCAGGUUUAAAAACAGGAAUUAAAAGGAUAGGAUGCAGGUUUAAAAAUAAGAACCAGAAAGACAGGAUGCAGGUUUAAAAACAGGAACCAGAAAGACAGGAUGCAGGUUUAAAAACAGGAACUAAAAAGACAGGAUGCAAUUCUAUGGUUUUCCCGAGAACAAUAAGUUGGAAAAAAAAAAAAAACAAGUUUACCCCCUAGGUGACCUGACUGACUGGAUGCAGAAGGUCCAACAGGAAGACUGUCGCUGUGCUAGGAACUAACCCACUUAUUCCCUAUAAAAGAUCUGUGCCCCAAAGCCCGGUGUGCCAGUUCACCGAAGCUCCGGCUGAGGUCUCGCUGAGCACCCGCAGGCUCCUGUGUAGCAAUAAAUCGCCUCUUGCUUUUGCAGCCAGUGCCUCGUGCGUCUUUCUUGGACAGGGAAUCGGCAGGUCUUUCAAUGGUC
Molecule: long non-coding RNA, 629 nt
Filed under: Marmota monax (woodchuck)
Lineage: Eukaryota; Metazoa; Chordata; Mammalia; Rodentia; Sciuridae
Source: RNAcentral